GGCCCGCCGUCCUCCGUGGGCGGGGGAGGGAAGCAGGUGGAUGAUCCGACUCCAGCCGUCAAGGCCCCCUGACCUGUCCUGCCCUCCUCUUGCCGUGACUUACGCUUGGAAAGGAGCUAGCAUUUCUGGUUGGGCGUGUUUUAUUUAUAGUGCAAGAACAUCCACCGCAUUCCCCACAAAGUGGGCCGAUGUAGCUACCAGCCUCUCGGGCCAGCCGGAGCCCAUCGGCAGGUCCCACGGAGCAGGAGCCCCCCUGUCGCGAGCCGUUCGCAGCCCGGGACCAGAAAGGACGGGGACGCCCGCAGCCGAGAUGGGUGUUUAUGCGGAUGGGCUCAGGCACCAGGGGCACCUCGCUCUCUGCGAGUUUCCUCCAACCACGUCUCGCGUUCAGGUGCCCGGAAAGCGCAGGUUAUUUCUGCCUGGACGUUGGCGGGAACCAGCCUGUGGGCAGAUCCAUCCGGUGGAGACUUUUGUAAAGGCACACCUUCCUGAGACCAUCGGACAGAUGCAGCUUCAGGACACCUGUGACUCACAACCGAAGGUGAGGCGGGUUCUGCACAUCACCACCGCCCAGAACCUCUGAAGUGUCAGGUUUGUGACUAAUUCGUUCUGUUAAAAGAUGCAGCCCAGUGGGCACCCUCCAGUGAUACCGCUGCAGUGCAUCCUGGUGUUUCUUGGGGAGGGAGGGCAGAGCCAGAGCUAUGCUUGGGGGCAUCAGGAUCCCAGGGACAGUGUUGGGGGGGAGGGGCCUGGGCUUCCAGCCGGUGGUCUUGGGGGCGCGCAGAAUGCAGCCUACCUCCCACCACCCGUCCUCAGGUCUCCUGAGCUCAGGGGUGCAGAAAACCCCUGUGGCGCUGCCACGCAGGAGUGCCAGGACCCCAGCCUUCUCUCCUCGGGAAAAAAUGCGCAACCUAGAAGUUGGGAGAUGUGUGUUAUUCAGCAGACAAAACCGAGGACUUAAGCUGGGAUACAGGGGGUCAGAGAAUUCUGAGAAACUGCAUCAAAGAGGCCAGGAGUCUUUGCCACAAAGACCAGGCGAAAGAACAUCAAAGAUGGCUGUUGACUGAAGAAAACCAGACGUCCCAAACGAGGGAGCCGAGCGCCCUUCUAGGCCUGGGGAGAUGCCAGAGGCUGGGGCGUGGAAGCCAGGCCUUCGCUGUGCACCUCAGCUCCCUGAGUGUCCUGAGUUUUCUCACCCCGAGUUUCCUUAGGCUGCACCUUCGGGGGCGGGGGGUUGGCUGCAGGGCGGGCUCGUCUCCUCCCUGAGUUCCCCGGGGGCCCGUCCCUCCUCUGCUCUGAGGGGGAGGCUGGGAUGUGUGGGCUCGACGGCGGCAGCCUCCUCUGUUUACCGAUACGGCAGCAGCCUGGUUCACUCGCAUCGCUGACUCCCCGGGCACGGCUUUCUCACUGGUGUCACGGGCAGUGGUGGGUCUACUUGACCAGUGACCCUUGGACAGGGCCCCUAAACCACGUCUGGCCCAGUGUGCAAAUGGCUGAACCCAACUCUCAGACCUGCCCAACUUUUUGCCUUUCCUUUUUUCCAAAUUUCAGGGCACCUUUCUUUUUUUGGGUCUUUUUAGGAC
RNAcentral lists this long non-coding RNA (1583 nucleotides) under Sus scrofa (pig). RNAcentral describes it as "lncRNA (ENSSSCG00015025384.1)". Lineage: Eukaryota; Metazoa; Chordata; Mammalia; Artiodactyla; Suidae. The record is from RNAcentral.